RNAcentral lists this ribosomal RNA (170 nucleotides) under Torquigener brevipinnis (yellow-stripe toadfish). RNAcentral's name for it is "partial 12S rRNA". The record is from RNAcentral. Lineage: Eukaryota; Metazoa; Chordata; Actinopteri; Tetraodontiformes; Tetraodontidae. RNAcentral also lists the same sequence under 1 other name.
CACCGCGGUUAUACGAGAGACCCAAGUUGUUAGCCAACGGCGUAAAGGGUGGUUAGAAACAUUUCAACAAACUGAGACCGAACACCUUCAAGGCUGUUAUACGCUUCCGAAGCAACGAAGAACAAUAACGAAAGUAGCCUCAUUAAUUCGAACCCACGAAAGCUAGGGCA